UACAGAGGGUGCAAGCGUUAAUCGGAAUUACUGGGCGUAAAGCGUGCGUAGACGGUUAUGUAAGUCGGGUGUGAAAGCCCCGGGCUCAACCUGGGAAUGCCAUUCGAGACUGCAUAGCUAGGGUGCGGAAGAGGGAAGCGGAAUUUCCGGUGUAGCGGUGAAAUGCGUAGAUAUCGGAAGGAACACCAGUGGCGAAGGCGACAUCCUGGACCGGUAUUGACGCUGAGGCGCGAAAGCCAGGGGAGCAAACGGG
This 253-nucleotide ribosomal RNA is filed under the name uncultured bacterium. RNAcentral's name for it is "partial 16S ribosomal RNA". It matches the Rfam family "Bacterial small subunit ribosomal RNA", at positions 524 to 776 of the family's 1533-position model. The record is from RNAcentral.